RNAcentral lists this ribosomal RNA (442 nucleotides) under uncultured bacterium. RNAcentral's name for it is "partial 16S ribosomal RNA". It matches the Rfam family "Bacterial small subunit ribosomal RNA", at positions 338 to 795 of the family's 1533-position model. The record is from RNAcentral.
CCUACGGGAGGCAGCAGUGGGGAAUAUUGGGCAAUGGGCGCAAGCCUGACCCAGCAACGCCGCGUGAAGGAAGAAGGCUUUCGGGUUGUAAACUUCUUUUAAGAGGGAAGAGCAGAAGACGGUAGCUCCAGAAUAAGCAACGGCGGACUACGGGCCAGCAGCCGCGGGAAUAAGUAGGUGGCAAGAGGUGUCCGGAUUUACUGGGUGUAGAGGGCGGGGAGCCGGGCUGACAAGUCAGAUGUGAAAUUCGGGGGCUCAACCCCGGACCUGCAUUUGAAACUGUGGGUCUUGAGUAUCGGAGAGGCAGGCGGAAUUCUUAGUGUAGCGGUGAAAUGCGUAGAUAUUAGGAGGAACACCAGUGGCGAAGGCGGGCUGCUGGACGUCAACUGACGGUGAGGCGCGAAGGCGUGGGGAGCGAACAGGAUUAGAUACCCUUGUAGUC